CGUGAUCGGGUAGGAUAAGCCUGCUAGUCGUGCGCCUUCUAGCCUGAUGGAGGCGCGGCACACAGCUCAGUAGCACGUGGCUAACCUGCCCUUGGGACGGAAGCACCCCCGGGAAACUGGGGCUAAUUUCUGAUAGGUGAAGGCUUCUGGAAUGGACUUUCGCCUAAAGGACGCUUAGAUCAUGCUUCUAGGCGUUGCCCAAGGAUGGGGCCGCGGCCGAUCAGGUUGUUGGUGAGGUAAUGGCUCACCAAGCCUAUAACCGGUGCGGGCCGUGAGAGCGGGAGCCCGGAGAUGGGCACUGAGACAAGGGCCCAGGCCCUACGGGGCGCAACAGGCGCGAAAACUUCGCAAUAAGCGAAAGCUUGACGGGGCUAUCCCGAGUGCCAUCCGCUGAGGAUGGCUUUUCUCUAGUAUAGAUAGCUGGGGGAAUAAGGAGAGGGCAAGUCUGGUGUCAGCCGCCGCGGUAAUACCAGCUCUCCGAGUGGUGUGGACGAUUAUUGGGCCUAAAGCAUCCGUAGCCGGCUGAGCAAGUCCCCUGUUAAACCCAACGAUUCAAUCGUUGGCUCGCGGGGGAUACUGCUCGGCUAGGGGGCGAGAGAGGCCGUCGGUAUUCCCGGGGUAGGGGUGAAAUCCUAUAAUCCCGGGAGGACCACCAGUGGCGAAGGCUGUCGGCUAGAACGCGCUCGACGGUGAGGGAUGAAAGCUGGGGGAGCGAACCGGAUUAGAUACCCGGGUAGUCCCAGCUGUAAACGAUGCAGGCUAGGUGUUAGGGCGGCCACGUGCCGCUCUAGUGCCGCAGGGAAGCUGUUAAGCCUGCCGCCUGGGAGUACGGCCGCAAGGCUGAAACUUAAAG
Molecule: ribosomal RNA, 853 nt
Filed under: uncultured archaeon
Lineage: Archaea
Description: bacterial SSU rRNA
Rfam family: Archaeal small subunit ribosomal RNA
Source: RNAcentral